UACGGAGGAUCCAAGCGUUAUCCGGAUUUAUUGGGUUUAAAGGGUGCGUAGGCGGAAGAUUAAGUCGGUGGUGAAAUUUUGCAGCUCAACUGUAACAGUGCCAUUGAUACUGGUUUUCUUGAGUAUGGAUGAAGUAGGCGGAAUUUGUGGUGUAGCGGUGAAAUGCAUAGAUAUCACGAGGAACUCCGAUUGCGCAGGCAGCUUACUAAACCAUAACUGACGCUCAGGCACGAAGGCGUGGGGAUCAAACAGG
This 253-nucleotide ribosomal RNA is filed under the name uncultured bacterium. Its description in RNAcentral is "partial 16S ribosomal RNA". It matches the Rfam family "Bacterial small subunit ribosomal RNA", at positions 524 to 776 of the family's 1533-position model. The record is from RNAcentral.